Molecule: long non-coding RNA, 1994 nt
Organism: Oncorhynchus keta (chum salmon)
Lineage: Eukaryota; Metazoa; Chordata; Actinopteri; Salmoniformes; Salmonidae
Exons: 10
Source: RefSeq, a predicted model, not a curated record
GUGUUGGCCCAUUGAGAUUCUGUCAUUAGGUGUUGGCCCAUUGGGAUUCUGUCAUUAGGUGUUGGCCCAUUGGGAUUCUGUCAUUAGGUGUUGGCCCAUUGGGAUUCUGUCAUUAGGUGUUGGCCCAUUGGGAUUCUGUCAUUAGGUGUUGUCCCAUUGGGAUUCUGUCAUUAGGUGUUGUCCCAUUGGGAUUCUGUCAUUAGGUGUUGUCCCAUUGGGAUUCUGUCAUUAGGUGUUGUCCCAUUGGGAUUCUGUCAUUAGGUGUUGUCCCAUUGGGAUUCUGUCAUUAGGCGUUGUCCCAUUGGGAUUCUGUCAUUAGGCGUUGUCCCAUUGGGAUUCUGUCAUUAGGCGUUGUCCCAUUGGGAUUCUGUCAUUAGGCGUUGUCCCAUUGGGAUUCUGUCAUUAGGCGUUGUCCCAUUGGGAUUCUGUCAUUAGGCGUUGUCCCAUUGGGAUUCUGUCAUUAGGCGUUGUCCCAUUGGGAUUCUGUCAUUAGGUGUUGUCCCAUUGGGAUUCUGUCAUUAGGUGUUGUCCCAUUGGGAUUCUGUCAUUAGGUGUUGUCCCAUUGGGAUUCUGUCAUUAGGUGUUGUCCCAUUGGGAUUCUGUCAUUAGGCGUUGUCCCAUUGGGAUUCUGUCAUUAGGCGUUGUCCCAUUGGGAUUCUGUCAUUAGGCGUUGGCCCAUUGGGAUUCUGUCAUUAGGCGUUGGCCCAUUGGGAUUCUGUCAUUAGGCGUUGGCCCAUUGGGAUUCUGUCAUUAGGCGUUGUCCCAUUGGGAUUCUGUCAUUAGGCGUUGGCCCAUUGGGAUUCUGUCAUUAGGCGUUGGCCCAUUGGGAUUCUGUCAUUAGGCGUUGGCCCAUUGGGAUUCUGUCAUUAGGCGUUGGCCCAUUGGGAUUCUGUCAUUAGGCGUUGUCCCAUUGGGAUUCUGUCAUUAGGCGUUGGCCCAUUGGGAUUCUGUCAUUAGGCGUUGGCCCAUUGGGAUUCUGUCAUUAGGCGUUGGCCCAUUGGGAUUCUGUCAUUAGGUGUUGUCCCAUUGGGAUUCUGUCAUUAGGUGUUGUCCCAUUGGGAUUCUGUCAUUAGGUGUUGUCCCAUUGGGAUUCUGUCAUUAGGUGUUGGCCCAUUGGGAUUCUGUCAUUAGGUGUUGGCCCAUUGGGAUUCUGUCAUUAGGUGUUGUCCCAUUGGGAUUCUGUCAUUAGGUGUUGUCCCAUUGGGAUUCUGUCAUUCCCUCACACUGCACUUGCAGAACAAAUGUAUUAGCCAUGGACAUCUACUAGGGAGCUCUAGAAUAGAUCAAAGUAAGAUUAUCAUUAUUUAAACAAAGGUUUUGAACAAAUAAAAGAGAACACAAAUAAAGUCUGGUAGAACAGGCAGGGUGACCGUUGAGUCGAAGGCUGAGACUGGUAGAAUGGGUAUUUGGUUAUCAGGAAUUAUUAUUACUUCAUUGUUAACUGUUUGCUUACCACAAGGACUGCGUUCCUGACAGCCAGAGGUAGACCUAGCAGCCCCGUACCCUAACCCUUACCACAAGGCCUGCGUUCCUGACAGCCAGAGGUAGACCUAGCAGCCCCGUACCCUAACCCUUACCACAAGGCCUGCGUUCCUGACAGCCAGAGGUAGACCUAGCAGCCCCGUACCCUAACCCUUACCACAAGGCCUGCGUUCCUGACAGCCAGAGGUAGACCUAGCAGCCCCGUACCCUAGCCCUUACCACAAGGCCUGCUUUCCUGACAGCCAGAGGUAGACCUAGCAGCCCCGUACCCUAACCCUUACCACAAGGCCUGCGUUCCUGACAGCCAGAGGUAGACCUAGCAGCCCCGUACCCUAACCCUUACCACAAGGCCUGCGUUCCUGACAGCCAGAGGUAGACCUAGCAGCCCCGUACCCUAACCCUUACCACAAGGCCUGCGUUCCUGACAGCCAGAGGUAGACCUAGCAGCCCCGUACCCUAACCCUUACCACAAGGCCUGCGUUCCUGACAGCCAGAGGUAGACCUAGCAGCCC